UACAGAGGUCCCAAGCGUUGUUCGGAUUCACUGGGCGUAAAGGGUGCGUAGGUGGCCGGGUAAGCUUGAUGUGAAAUCUCCGAGCUUAACUCGGAAACUGCAUUGAAUACUAUCCUGCUUGAGGGUUGGAGGGGGGACUGGAAUUCUCGGUGUAGCAGUGAAAUGCGUAGAUAUCGAGAGGAACACCAGUGGCGAAGGCGAGUCCCUGGACAACUCCUGACACUGAGGCACGAAAGCUAGGGGAGCAAACAGG
Molecule: ribosomal RNA, 253 nt
Filed under: uncultured bacterium
Lineage: Bacteria
Description: partial 16S ribosomal RNA
Rfam family: Bacterial small subunit ribosomal RNA
Source: RNAcentral